This is a long non-coding RNA of Populus nigra (black poplar), 1982 nucleotides long. RefSeq lists it as uncharacterized. The record is from RefSeq and is a predicted model, not a curated record. Lineage: Eukaryota; Viridiplantae; Streptophyta; Magnoliopsida; Malpighiales; Salicaceae. The transcript is spliced from 5 exons.
GUACUCAAAAGUUUAACGAUAACUCAUUUACCUCACCAACGAUCUGGCUUACUUGAGGAUAUGUAAUGAAAUCUCUUUCUACUCCAAACGCAUCUCGAUUAAUAUAGAACCCAAAUUUAGGAUUCAUCAAAACUUCUCCCGUAUACUUUGCCACUGAGAUUGGGCCACCUGAAAAACCAUCCAUAACUUACAAUCAGGGUUUUUUCAAGCACAUCAGCACAAAAACAUAGUUUCAUUGACAACAUUAUGAAAUUUAGCAUCCAUUUCUGCCAAGAGUUUCAAAACCACAUGUAUCUAAGCUCCAACUACAGCAUUUCCUGAUAUUGUUAGAUCUUGAAACUGGGUCUUUAAUUUAGAGAGCGUUUGUUUGUUUACGUGAUAGUUGUCAUGUUCAGAUUGAACCAUAAAUUUUAUGUGUUUGGUUACCUACAAACCACACUAAUUAAUUACUAGGACCCAGAAUAACCUGCGUUCGAAUCACAGUCUAGGCAAAAGCAACUUUGACUUGCUUUUAUGAAUUGUUAGCUGAACAUAAAACGUGGCAAAACGCUUAUAUAAUUAUUUUAAUUUUAUCUUGUUGAAAAUAACCCUCUGUUCUUAUCCUCUCAUUGUUCUUUCGUUGCUCUCUCCACUGUUCUUCCCUCUCAUUCAACAAGUCCUCACACACUGUUGUUUGUAGCCGAUUGGGGAAUAAUUUCAACAGAUCAUUCAAAUUGGAAAAAGACUAUCCAUUUCCAACUCAAAUCCCCGUCCUAAACUCAAACCAUACACCUUGAUUUGCUGCCUUCUUCAAGUCUGUUCGCAGUGAUGAUGGUUCUUGAAAACCCAUAAAUGGUUGAAGACACACAGAAAUUAGGUUUGUGAUUUUCAAGAACUAAAGAUCUAACAUCUAUAUCUUGGAAAGAACAACAAACUCUCGAUCUGUGUUGAGGCACAUCCAACACUACAACACAAGCUCAAAUUGAUGGUGAUGUUCAAGGAACCUAAAAGGCCUUGAUAAUCUGUCUCCUGGAAAGCACAACAAACAUCUGAUCUCUGUUUCGGUACAUCCUACACUACAAGAGAGAUACGAGGAGCUAAAAAGUUUAGGCAUUCUGGUAUCGAUCUCGCAUUGUAUUGUAAAUAUGAUAUCAUGUUUAAAAAACAUCGUGGCUACCGGUUAGUAUGCUUGGGCUCCAUCAUAGGCUUUCAAUUCUUAUGAUGAUGAUGUACGUGAAAGGAGAAAAAAUGCAUCUAAUGAGGAUACACAUCUAGAGAAAGGUAGUGGUGAUUCGGAGGAGGAUACUUUACCAAAUUUUGUAAAGGAUGUCAAUAAUAUGGUUGCUGGUGUAAAUUUUACCAAUAGUAGUAGCAAUCUUAGUAGUAGUAGUGGGAAGAGAAAAGGUGUUCAACAAUGUACAUAAAAAAGUGGGCAAAAAAAAGGGUUCGGGAAUGGGAGCACCACUGUUUUCGCGUUUAGAUUGAUUAGUUGAUAGUGUAUCUACUAGGAGUGAAUGAACAUCAAGUGGUUGGGAUAAAAAAAAGGAUGUAGCAUAAAAGAGGUCAUGAAGGAGUUUCACUCCGUUGAGGAAGUGGUUUUCGGUAGUGAGCUUUAUUGUUUUGGAAUUGAGUUUUUCAUGGUUAGAAGCAAGAGGGAAAUGUGGGCAGCAAUUAGAGAUAAGAAAAGAAAAUUUCAAUGGUUGAAAUUAAUGUUCGAGAGGAGAUCAAACGUAAAACCUUGAUUAGCGGUGUUGGUAAUGGGAACAAUAUAGAUGAUGACGAUGACGACGACGAUGAUAAUGAAAAUAAACACGAUGAUGAUAAGGAAGGUGAUUUGUUUUGGCUUAGAGAGUGUGAUCGCAAUAAACUAUUGUUAUGCACGACUGGAGCACUUGCUUUGUAAUAUAAUAAUUAUAUUUAUAAGGAACAUGUAUGGUUUCAUACAACACAAGAAUGAGAUGGUUGAAUGAAAUUUUAAAUGGGCAUUAAGUACGUUGUGUUAA